CCCUUAGAUGUUCUGGGCCGCACGCGCGCUACACUGAUAAUGUCAACAAGCUUUACCUUGGCCGAUAGGUCUGGGCAAUCUUCGAACUAUUAUCGUGAUGGGGCUAGAUUAUUGCAACUAUUAAUCUUAAACGAGGAAUUCCUAGUAAGCGCGAGUCAUCAGCUCGCGUUGAUUACGUCCCUGCCCUUUGUACACACCGCCCGUCGCUCCUACCGAUUGGAUGGUCCGGUGAAGCCUCGGGAUUGUGGUUCUUGCCGCUUUAUUGUGGCGUGACCGCGAGAACUUGUCUAAACCUUAUCAUCUAGAGGAAGGUGAAGUCGUAACA
RNAcentral lists this ribosomal RNA (325 nucleotides) under uncultured eukaryote. RNAcentral's name for it is "partial 18S ribosomal RNA". It matches the Rfam family "Eukaryotic small subunit ribosomal RNA", at positions 1470 to 1796 of the family's 1831-position model. The record is from RNAcentral.